Molecule: ribosomal RNA, 333 nt
Filed under: uncultured eukaryote
Lineage: Eukaryota
Description: partial 18S ribosomal RNA
Rfam family: Eukaryotic small subunit ribosomal RNA
Source: RNAcentral
CCCUUAGAUGUCCUGGGCCGCACGCGCGCUACACUGACACGAGCAGCGAGCUUCUUCCUGUUCCGAAAGGAUUGGGGAAUCUUGUAAAUCGUGUCGUGUCGGGGAUCGAUUAUUGUAAUUAUUAGUCGUGAACAAGGAAUUCCUAGUAAGCGCAAGUCACUAGCUUGCGCUGAUUACGUCCCUGCCCUUUGUACACACCGCCCGUCGUUCCUACCGAUUGAAUGAUCCGGUGAACCCCUCGGAUUGGUCAGACCAGUUGGCGGGGCAACUCGUCAGCUUCUGGCCGAGAAGUUGGGUAAACCUUAUCAUUUAGAGGAAGGAGAAGUCGUAACA